This 497-nucleotide ribosomal RNA is filed under the name uncultured bacterium. RNAcentral describes it as "partial 16S ribosomal RNA". It matches the Rfam family "Bacterial small subunit ribosomal RNA", at positions 28 to 507 of the family's 1533-position model. The record is from RNAcentral.
GAUGAACGCUGGCGGCGUGCCUAAUACAUGCAAGUCGAGCGAACAGACGAGGAGCUUGCUCCUCUGACGUUAGCGGCGGACGGGUGAGUAACACGUGGAUAACCUACCUAUAAGACUGGGAUAACUUCGGGAAACCGGAGCUAAUACCGGAUAAUAUAUUGAACCACAUGGUUCAAUAGUGAAAGACGGUUUUGCUGUCACUUAUAGAUGGAUCCGCGCCGCAUUAGCUAGUUGGUAAGGUAACGGCUUACCAAGGCAACGAUGCGUAGCCGACCUGAGAGGGUGAUCGGCCACACUGGAACUGAGACACGGUCCAGACUCCUACGGGAGGCAGCAGUAGGGAAUCUUCCGCAAUGGGCGAAAGCUUGACGGAGCAACGCCGCGUGAGUGAUGAAGGUCUUCGGAUCGUAAAACUCUGUUAUUAGGAAAGAACAAAUGUGUAAGUAACUAUGCACGUCUUGACGGUACCUAAUCAGAAAGCCACGGCUAACUACGUG